Molecule: ribosomal RNA, 497 nt
Filed under: uncultured bacterium
Lineage: Bacteria
Description: partial 16S ribosomal RNA
Rfam family: Bacterial small subunit ribosomal RNA
Source: RNAcentral
GAUGAACGCUGGCGGCGUGCCUAAUACAUGCAAGUCGAGCGAACAGAUAAGGAGCUUGCUCCUUUGACGUUAGCGGCGGACGGGUGAGUUACACGUGGAUAACCUACCUAUAAGACUGGGAUAACUUCGGGAAACCGGAGCUAAUACCGGAUAACAUAUUGAACCGCAUGGUUCAAUAGUGAAAGGCGGCUUUGCUGUCACUUAUAGAUGGAUCCGCGCCGUAUUAGCUAGUUGGUAAGGUAACGGCUUACCAAGGCAACGAUACGUAGCCGACCUGAGAGGGUGAUCGGCCACACUGGAACUGAGACACGGUCCAGACUCCUACGGGAGGCAGCAGUAGGGAAUCUUCCGCAAUGGGCGAAAGCCUGACGGAGCAACGCCGCGUGAGUGAUGAAGGUCUUCGGAUCGUAAAACUCUGUUAUCAGGGAAGAACAAAUGUAUAAGUAACUGUGCACAUCUUGACGGUACCUGAUCAGAAAGCCACGGCUAACUACGUG